CUCAGAGCUUCCUGUGAGGACACUGCUGCACGUACUGUAAUAAACCAUGCUGUUUAAUAACACCCUCACUCCAGGACACUGCAGCAUCAAUGGGAGCACACACUGCGUGUCAUUAAAGAAUGUAAAGUCAGACUGUUCUUCAUAAACAGCCCUGAUGUGACACGUCGUAGCUCGUCCAAUGGAGUCAUGAAUACUUUCAGUCAUGAAUCGGUGUUAUAUUAUAUUAGAUGGCACUUCCUGUCCCAGCGCCCUGACCCGGGAACAGACUUGCAGACGUGACGUUCAUCUGUGACAAAUAUUUCUACUUUAUUCACAGAAACACAAAAAACCACCAAGGAGAGAAAAACAGAAAACAUAGGAAACAUUUACAGUAUGAACACAAUCAGCUGAUGGCGUUCUCGUUUUUUGGCCACAUGUUUUUCACCACUUCCUGUGUGUGGUGUUGACACAAUAAAAGCAUCAAAGCCAUACUAUAAUAUUUAUUUUAUGACUGAAACAGCAAAAACACACGAGUGGAAAAACAGCCGCCCAUCUGACAGCCCGUCACGUGACCCGCUGCUGCCACAAGACGAGCGCCUGAAGAAGAAAACAUUUGUACAUCAUCACCUGUCUGAAACCUCUAAGCCGCCUCACCUGUCCCAUCAGGUUCACUCAGGUCUCAGGUGAGUCCACUGAAGAUGAGCUGAUUGGUGGAGGUGGUUCAGGGGCGGGGCCCAGCCUGCUUGUCAUAAUUCAGGUUGUUCAAGUUGUGCUCUCGUGCUGAGACUUCAGCAAGUGUUUAGUGUAGUGUCAGCAUGCUGAUGUCCUACGCCACCUGAACACAGCACCAGCCCCUUUUACUCAUCUUUACAGUUUAAAUUAAAAACACAGUCUUCUCCUCCGGUCAGUGAAGCAGCAGCAGCUCAGAUACGUGACAUCACUGUACACAGAGGCCAUGCCCACUGUAGGACGGCAGGCUCACUGUGCUGCAGUUCCUCUAAUGUCCAGCAGAGGCAGCAGUGAGUCAGCCCCACACACGUUUACAGCCUGAUACACAAACUGUCCGGCCCAUUCAUGACACCUGUUUGCAUUAUUAGGGGCGUGGCUUCUGACUGAAAGGUGGAUGGUGACACAGGCGGCUAUAGCUGCUAGCAGUCUGCUUCACCUGAACUGCACCUCCUGACUGUGUUUGUGCAGUUGGAGCCUUUUGGAGCUCCAGUUGGAGUGAGACGCUAAGCAGGUAUCGCUUUGAUCACUGUUGUCAGGACAAACUUUUAUAAAUAAAAUUACAGUACAGCAGCGGUUUGCUUACUUCACUGACAGGAGAAGAACCCCCCCAUGGUUGCCAUGGCAACACGAACAUCUCUGUUGUCAUAGUAACACCCAGGUUUCGGCCUCAUAUACAGAGCAUCAUCAGUACGUUUCUAUUUACAGGAUAUAAUUGUACACAACAGUCGGGCCACCUUUACAAGGUGAAAAACGUCCCAGCAUGCAACAGAAACCACCCGAUCACCCUCAUCUGUACAUGUGACAAAGGUCCGAUCAGGUGAUCACAAAGCCAGGUCACAUGAUUGACCUAAACCACAGUGACAUUAGUAAAAACUAUACAGAGACGACAUCCUGCCAUUCAGAGUUCAGGGUUCAGACAUCCUCCUCUUCAUCAGCGGCAAGAUGAAAGUGUCCACCAUAAUAAGGAAAGAUGGAGACGAACAGAGCCGAACCGAACCACACUUUGCCCUCGCUGCUUCUUUUGGGCUAUUAUUAACUGUGAGCAAGUAGCUCACAGGUGGGUGAGCGGCAGAAGAGUGGCCCCGCCCCCUAAAGCAAAACUAAAAGCAUAAAAAAAAUAAAUAAAACUAAAACUAAAUAAACUUUAAAAAAAACAAAAAGGAAAAAUAAAUAAUUACUUUGACAAUAUCAGUACUGGGCAUGCUCAAACCCAAUACUGUAACAUUAGCAUUUAGCAAUCAUGCUAUAAACUAAGCCAUCGUCGACUGUUUUCAGAUUAGAAACAAGCUGUUAGCUUCACCUGACUUUAUCUUAGCUACCCUCUGUGGUUAGCUCGACAUAAGAGUACCAUUAGUGUUAGCUUUCUUUACCAGUUAGCCAUGUUAAAAUAGUUUCGGAACACUUUUGAAAUGUCAGUAUCUUUCAAGCUGUGUCAGAUAUAAUAUUAAGUAAUGUAAUCUAACAGUUCAUAAAGUUAGUCUUAUUAUAGUCUUACGCAGAGUUAGCAGAGAGCCUAUUCAAUUUUAGAUUACUGCUUACUCGUUAGCUUAGGCCACUUCCUAGCUGUAGUUCAUGUUAACUCUGAACUCAUCACGAUACUUUUAUAGCUACCUAUUUCAAGCUAGUCUCCCAGCUAGCAGCUAGUUAACAGACUGCUACGCCUCUCUCCCUGCAAACAUGACUAGCAUGAUCGGCGUGAUUGAACACAUUUAUUCUGUUUUAAUAGUGUUAGCCUUAACAGUCAGUUACAUUUUCAGACUGAAGCAAAUCCAGAAUCGUCACGGUUAGCAACGGGUAAUCUGGGAAUAGUUUUAUUUCUAUUAUCAUUUUAAAGUAAGCACACUCAUCUUAGCCAGGUCACAGAUAGCCAUUAACUGUAGCUUACAAUAAGUUUAUCUUUGCCAAUAUUAACUUUAAGCUAUAUUAGCCACAAGAUACAUUAGUGUCAUUUAAACAACAAAACAAAACUGCUGUUAGCUUCCGUUAGCCCUUAGUAGCAUUGCAACUUUAUCUCAGUGUGAGACAGGACAGUUUCAGGUUUUAUUGAUCAAUCAGCUGUUACUGAGAACAUUAAAUACUUAUCUUUUUUUUUUUUUUUUUAUUAAAGUGCUUUUCCCUUUCUCACUUCCUGUUUCUAUGGCAAAUGUUCAUGUUAAACAGGAAAUUCAGUGUGUCUGCAGCUACUGGGAAUUAUGAGUUUUUUUCUAUUCCUUAAUCUGUGUGAUGUCACAGAGAGAAGCUCCACCCAUCUACUGUUCAAGUCUUCUGCUUGUGAGAUGCAGCCAAUCAGAAUAAAGCACGUUUAAAGGUGGAGGAGCUGAACCGGCUUGUGUGAGACAGCGGCUGAGCUGAGGCUCAGGAUGACACGACUCACGCUAAGCCGCUCUGUGAGAGCCAACGUUGGAAUGAGCAGAACGAUCCACCUAACAGAGUUUUAUAGUUUUGAGUCUUCUGUGUUUAACACGGGCUCAAUAAUUACGCAUAUUAGUUUCUAAGCUCCACCCACACAGGUGACCGACUGCAUGUAAAACCAACGUCACACAGAUGUUAAACUGCACGGAUUCACAAGAGAACCUGACAGGUAGAAUAAACCAACUCCCCCUUUGCCUCUGGGUUAUUUUUCUUUGUUCUUACAUCAGAUGAUCAUCUUACCCUCUUUACCUCAGACCCAGGGGUCAAAGGUCAAAGGUGGUAAGCUUUUAUUUUUUCGGCUUGUCACACGUGGAGGAUUUUCUUUGGACCGCUGCUCAAACACAAGCAGAUGUGGCUUCAUGGUGAAGGCACUCAUUAUUAUCACUUGUAACAAUCAGCACACACAGGUGGAGUAGAUUAGCUCUGCCUACACCAGGUGCAGCAUUAAAAUCUGGUCACAUUAUUUGUCCCUUCCUUUCUGGUCUGCUCUGCGGCGCUGUGAGAUGUGAUGAGUGUAGCAGGUCCAGAGCGAAACCUCCACCCGUGAGAGGCUGAUUUCUAACAAACCUUGCAGCGAGAGUAAAGAUCAGUUCAGCUUGGCUCGUCUCCAUCACUGCCCAUCAGCUGCUCCCUCACCUGCAGAGCGACGGCACAGGUGGGAUGGAAGCCCAUUUCUGCCCACAAAUGGAAACACACUCGCUGCAAAUGUCUGAACGUUUUAAUCUACUUUGUAUUUUGGGGGCACUGAGCCUUUAUUAGUCAGCAGAGAGCGGGCAGGAAGUGGCCGUGGGGAAUUGAACCCGCACCUCUGCAGUGCCUGAAGGUCUCACAUAUGAAAUGUUUUUUGUUUUUUUUCCCCCCAUUCAGACAUGACCUAAAAUAUUCGAUUCAUCUUUUACCUUUUUAAAUUCAUGUCAGCCGAGGUCAUUGGGCGGCGCCCCCCCAAAAUGGGCUUCCAUACAUACAGCACUGACCAAUAGGAGCUCAGACCCGUCACUGUGGCGUCAUGUCGGUGCCAGCCCCCUCCUGCAGGCUCUUCGGACACUUUCUGAUGACAUCAUGCGGGCUGAGAGACGCUGAGCUCUGAUUGGCUGGUGACUGGAGGAUGACUGCGCGUGUGCAAUGGGGUGCAAAUAUGGCUAGAUGGUGACAGACGGUCCUGGUGGGAUUGAUGACGUUGUGGCGGUCGCCGCGGUGCUGGAGUGUCGGGGCGGGGCCAGGUCGAGCAGAGCGCCGACAGUCACGGCCACCUGGGGGAGCCCUUGCUCCUCCAGGAUGUGAAGAGGAAGACACAACUGACUCUGCACAGACAAACACCACAGAAGAAGACACAGCGAGGGGCAGGGGGAACGGAUGGAAAACGAAAUCAACAGGUAAAAUAACUGAAACCAUGGCAACGCAAAGAUGAAAACAAGAAGUGGCAAAAAUGAUGGAGGAGGAGGAAACAAGGGGCGGGGCGUGCAGGUGGGAGCAGACAGGUGAGAGAGCUUUGAACAAAAGGCUGUGGACCAAAGACGGGAGCAGAGACAGAAGGAAGCAAGAGGCGGAUGGGAAGUGUAGUGCCACAGUGGCAGAGGUGUCGGUUUUGAGCUGGCUGCCAUCAAACAUGUACAGAUUUAAACUCCAACACGUUUGCACGGUGACGCACCAAUCAGCACACCUUCCCCACAGCUAGGAAUUGUGGGAGUUUAGCAGCACGGAGGUUAAUCGGUCACCUGACUAACAAUAACCUCUGAGUUUAGCUCAGCGAGGCCUGAAAGCAGCGACUGCAGCACAAAUGCGUCAGGAAGCUCAGAUCACACACUCAUGCUUACAGAGAGGGGAGUGCCCCCUGCAGGCACUGCUAUAUCGUCAUCUUCACAACGCGCGUGCUAGAAGCUCUGCUAAGGUGUCCUGGGCCACACCUCCACACCAGUGGACCCACUGCAGUGGCAGGAGCUGGUUCCCACCAGGACACCAGUCCAGCGUCGGUGGUUUGCAGGCGAGUAUCAAAUAUGAGAUUAACGUGCUGACAUCAGUUUACACCUUGACUGUGUUACCUGAUGUCAGGUCUCUGUGAAGAGGAUAAAGCAGCCAUUGCUCUGGCAUCGAUGGAACAAACCAAUCAGGAGGCAACGACCUCCAGGUGACUUUGAAAGACAGACAAGGGAGUCGAGCGGCUUUACUGAACUUUAUUGAUGGAGCUCUAAAGGGAACAGAGCAGAGGCACAUGUCUACAAAACACUCAGACACAUCCUCAUCCUCACUCUUCAUCGUAGAACAGUCCUGUCCUGUGUGAGACCCCGGCUCGCUCUGGCAGGUCGGAGCCACAGGAAACCCACCCAUGUUGAGGCCCUCCCACUGCAGCACUGCAGGAUGCCUCUUUGUUCUUCUUGAGUUUCCACCGUCACAGACAUAAGAGCGAUGGUGAGGCCAUCACAGGUCAGUGUCGUGACCCUGCUGGUGCACCGCAGCCUCUGACCUCCACCCUCACAGGUGAACUGGCUCACUUGACUUUGCUGCAAGUCCCAAUUUGGGCGAGGUCAGCAUCACUUCCUGCCUGCAGGGUUAGCGACAGCAUAGCUAACUCGUUGCGCAGCACUAACUGGCGGUGAGUGUGAAAGAUGUAACGACAGACAUGGCGGUGAAGCCUGUGCUGGGGCGUGUUCACACCUGCAGUUGGUUUUGUCUGUAAGCUCGGAGAGUUCAGUCUGCUCAUUGGCCAGAUGUGUCUGGGGUGGGAACAACAACAGUGAAUACAGGAAGUGUGCGAGGAAACUGGGAAUAGGGGUGUCCAAAUUCAUAGGCUGCGUCCUCCUCAGGACCCGGCCUUCGCGGUCUACGUGGGCCGGGUCCUCAGAAGACCGAGAAGGUCAGAAGUGAGCGACUGUGAAAUGGGACGGUCUAGCCUUCAGAUCUGCGUCACCGCUGUCUCGGUGGAGUUUAAUAAACUCAGCCGUCUGCUCCUUGCUAUCUAAAAUAUAACAGGACACUGGAGUAAACUCUCGACCGUCUCACACGUCUGUUUAUUCAGCUGUGUAAAAACUAUAACUUUAAUCUCAGCCAAACCGAUUUACUCAGGAACAAAUAAAACACUGAAAAAGCCAAACAACAACAUUUUUAAGUUAUCUAACUGACUUAUAUAUCAUGUUUAACCUGAGUAGCCAAAGACCGCGGGGGGCUGAAAACGAUGAUUCGGGAGUCCGCUGCUCUUGCCGGCUCGAGUGACCAUUGAACCCCCCCGCUAGCUAUCGAGCUGGUGGGUAACAGACGUCUCUGAAAAAAGUCGGAGCACUUUUGCAAAUAUGCGAUUUCUUGAUAAACUGAGCAGACAUUUGAAGUUUACACAGCUACAUUCUUCGCCUGAAAAUAUGUUAAAAGUUUAUUUUGUGACCCAGAAAGAAUAAUAAGAGUAAUAUUAAAACUUAGUAGCUUCCGCCAUUGUUGGAAACUGGAAUGCUGGGAUAGGUUAGGCAACGAAGGAGUCACCCAACCCAUCCUUCAAAUCAAGGGAAAUGAAGGACACAUUUGUCUGCUGCAUUCGGUCUAUGAAUUUGGACCGCCCCUUUAGGUUCAUCUCCCAGCUCGCUGCUAGCCACACCGCCCUGUGCACACCUACAGUUCCACAGCCUGCGUGGCUACGGCACAUUUUCUCAGACUGGUAACGUCUAGCUUGGAUCGCGUUCACGCCGUAAACCAACCGCUCUGGAGGUCAUUUGGUGCGACUCGGUGCGGGUGUUUUGGGUUAUACCUGUGUGGUAUCACUGUGUUCACACCUGAACAAGCAAAUUUUGCGCACAGAGAGAGGGGGAAUCGAACCCGAGUGCAAAUGACUAAACAGCGCCGCAAGAGGCGGGGACUUGUAUUUUUACAGUUCCUCUAUCAAACACAGAAGCUGAUCCCACCUGUGACACCAACAAACAAUAAAUAAAAAACUAACCACACCUACCAGCGCCAACCGAGGACUCAACUGACCCACGAUGGGGAAGUGGAGGCCCCAAACCCACCCACAGCAAAAAUCUCCAAAAAAUCUCAGCGAACAGAAACAGGAAGUAACAGUUAGUUCCUGUUUGAAGGAUCCUGUUGCAGCUCUCGCUGCUCCUGCAGGUCUUCACCUCUACAGAAACACUUCGAG
Molecule: long non-coding RNA, 7234 nt
Organism: Oreochromis aureus
Lineage: Eukaryota; Metazoa; Chordata; Actinopteri; Cichliformes; Cichlidae
Source: Ensembl